Molecule: unclassified non-coding RNA, 316 nt
Filed under: uncultured Chaetomiaceae
Lineage: Eukaryota; Fungi; Ascomycota; Sordariomycetes; Sordariales
Description: sequence contains ITS1
Rfam family: 5.8S ribosomal RNA (bases 1-105)
Source: RNAcentral
GAAAUGCGAUACGUAAUGUGAAUUGCAGAUUUCAGUGAAUCAUCGAAUCUUUGAACGCACAUUGCGCCCGCUAGUAUUCUGGCGGGCAUGCCUGUUCGAGCGUCAUUUCAACCAUCAAGCCCCCGGGCUUGUGUUGGGGACCUGCGGCUGCCCGCAGGCCCCGAAAACCAGUGGCGGGCUCGCUGUCACCCCGAGCGUAGUAGCAACACCUCGCCCAGGGAGUGCCGCGGGUUCCGGCCGUAAAACCUCGCCCUCGCGCGAGAAACCCCCCCCAAAGGUUGACCUCGGAUCAGGUAGGAAGACCCGCUGAACUUAA